UAUUAUAUACAAUUUAAUUUGUAUAAAAUUAAACUGUCUAUUCAACAACAAAUAUAUAAAUAGUUCGGAUUUAUUUCCGAGCUACUUCAUUCUCUUUUAUUAAGAGUUUGAUCCUAGCUCAGGAUGAACGCUGGCGGCGUGUUUAAGGCAUGCAAGUCGAACGAAGUACUCUCGCAAGAGAAUUACUAGUGGCAAACGGGUGAGUAACACAUUGGUAACCUACCUUCAAGACGGGGAUAGCUCGCCGAAAGGCGAAUUAAUACUCGAUGGUAAUGCGGGGACGCAAGUCAUUCGCAUUUAAAGAUUUAUCGCUUGAAGAGGGGCCUAUGUCUGAUUAGCUAGUUGGCGGAGUAAAAGCCCACCAAGGCUAUGAUCAGUAGCAGGCGUGAGAGCGUGACCUGCCUCACUGGGACUGAGACACUGCCCAGACAUCUACGGAUGGCGGCAAGAAUAUUCCUCAAUGGACGAAAGUCUGAAGGAGCGACGCCGCGUGUAGGAUGAAGGUCUUCGGAUUGUAAACUACUUUUAUGUGGGAAGAAUUUGUGACGGUACCACACGAAUAAGAGGUUGCUAACUCUGUGCCAGCAGCAGCGGUAAUACAGAGACCUCAAGCGUUAUCCGGAAUUAUUGGGCGUAAAGCGUCCGCAGGUGGUUUGGUAAGUCAGAAGUCAAAACUUCGCGCUCAACGUGAAGGUUGCUUUUGAAACUGCCAUUCUAGAGUAUGGGAGAGGAAAGCAGAAUUCUCGGUGUAGUCGUAAUAAGCGUUGAUAUCGAGAAGAAUACCAAAUGCGAAGGCAGCUUACUGGAACAUUACUGACACUCAUGGACGAAAGCGUGGGGAGCAAACAGGAUUAGAUACCCUGGUAGUCCACGCCCUAAACGAUGUGCACUAGGUAUUGGCAGUAUCGACCCUGUCAGUGCCGUUUCGCGUUAAGUGCACCGCCUGGGGAGUACGAUCGCAAGAUUAAAACUCAAAGGAAUAGACGGGGACCCGCACAAGCGGUGGAUUAUGUGGUUUAAUUCGAUAACAAACGGGGAACCUUACCUGGGCUCAACUACUAGCUGCAUAUGACCGGAAACGGACAUAGCCUUCGAGGGUGCUAGAUAGGUGCUGCAUGGUUGCCGUCAGCUCGUGCCGUGAGGUGUACCAUUAAGUUGGGAAACGAGCGCAACCCACGCCUUGUGUUAAAUGUACACAAGGGACCGCCCCGCACUCUGGACAUAAAUAUUUUGUGUCUAUAGUGUGGGGAGGAAGGAGUGGACGACGUCAAAUCAGCAUGGCUCUUACGUCCAGGGCUACACACAUAAUACAAUGGCCGGGACAACGGGUUGCGAAAUCGCGAGAUGGAGCUAAUCCUUCAAAACCGGCCCCAGUUCAGAUUGCAGGCUUCAA
This 1393-nucleotide ribosomal RNA is filed under the name uncultured bacterium. RNAcentral describes it as "bacterial SSU rRNA". It matches the Rfam family "Bacterial small subunit ribosomal RNA", at positions 1 to 1310 of the family's 1533-position model. The record is from RNAcentral.